UACGUAGGUGGCGAGCGUUGUCCGGAUUUACUGGGCGUAAAGGGCGUGCAGGCGGUUUGUUAAGUGCAGAGUGAAAGCUCCCGGCUCAACUGGGAGAGGUCUUUGCAUACUGGCAAACUCGAGGGAGGCAGAGGAAAGUGGAAUUCCCGGUGUAGUGGUGAUAUGCGUAGAUAUCAGGAGGAACACCUAUUGCGAAGGCAGCUCGCUGGGACGUAACUGACGCUGAGACGCGAAAGCGUGGGGAGCAAACAGG
Molecule: ribosomal RNA, 253 nt
Filed under: uncultured bacterium
Lineage: Bacteria
Description: partial 16S ribosomal RNA
Rfam family: Bacterial small subunit ribosomal RNA
Source: RNAcentral